Long non-coding RNA from Bubalus bubalis (water buffalo), 1061 nucleotides. RefSeq lists it as uncharacterized. The record is from RefSeq and is a predicted model, not a curated record. The transcript has 2 exons. Lineage: Eukaryota; Metazoa; Chordata; Mammalia; Artiodactyla; Bovidae.
ACUGCUGUCUCCGCUCACCACCCCCCCCACCCCCCUCCGCAGCUUGACCCGGUAGUGAAGGCUGAGAGAGAGGCAGGCUGGGUCCGCCUGGCAGCCUACGAGAGGAGGCGGGAGCGGGAGAGGAGGGGAGCCGAGGCCCGGAGUGGGGAGGCCGGCAGGAAGGGCUGCGAGCCCAGCGCGGACCUUUCUUCAGCCUCCCGGCAGCCGAACGCAGCGCUAGGCUGCUGCGCUGUGAGGAUGCCCUGACUCAGUGCCGGACGCUGUGGCUGGUGGCGCCGCGAGCCUCCGGGCGUCGGAUCCCGGCAUGAGAAAGGGCAGAGCUGUGCCGUGCCCUCGCCCAGGAGAAGGCCUGGGCGCUGCGAGCCAGGUGGAGGCGUCGGAGUUCACUAAUUAGACAGGCUUCGUCUCCCACGUUUCAGUCAGACCCGUCUCAGAGUUCUCAGAAUUCCUCUCAGAGGAGAGUAAAGUUAGAACUGCAGGCUGGUUUUCCUGUCAGCGCCCGUACCUCGGGUGCAGAAGGGAACUUAGCGGAGGGUUGUCUGGUGAAAGGCGUUCCAGGCACUGCGGGGCAGGGGCUUCACUUUUCCAAGUUGGAAGAAACGGGAAGCAGUGGGGUGGGGGCAGCCGCGGUGAGCAGCCUCCUCAGAAAACUGGGCAGUUUCACGCGGGAUCUGCGGCGAGACCGCGGGGCACGCCCUCGUCGCGCGCGCCCUCAGAGCCAGGCUGGGACGAGGGGAAACCCUAAGCUGCCCUGAGGAGACCACCUCCUGCUACACUGAAGGAGAAGAAGGUUCGGAGGGCGACCAGAGCCACAGAACCGGGGCUGAAACUCAGCUCGCUGGUCCGCCACCAGGCAGGCUUCUUUACCUUCAGCAAGUUUGCAGCCGGGAGUCUACAGCACAGCUAAAGAGGGAGCAGCCACCUUACCUCCAUGUUUGGACAAGCAUGAAGAUAAGAACUUCCCUGUGUGCAUGAUGGAAAAAAAUGAUAGAAGGGGCCAAAUUCCCUUCACUAAUACUUGUUGAUAUGUGAGGAAAAAUAAAAUGCUAUUAUAAAGUUAA